GACGAACGCUGGCGGCGUGCUUAACACAUGCAAGUCGAACGGAAAGGCCCUGCUUUUGUGGGGUGCUCGAGUGGCGAACGGGUGAGUAACACGUGAGUAACCUGCCCUUGACUUUGGGAUAACUUCAGGAAACUGGGGCUAAUACCGGAUAGGAGCUCCUGCUGCAUGGUGGGGGUUGGAAAGUUUCGGCGGUUGGGGAUGGACUCGCGGCUUAUCAGCUUGUUGGGGGGGUAGUGGAUUACCAAGGUUUUGACGGGUAGCCGGCCUGAGAGGGUGACCGGCCACAUUGGGACUGCGGUACGGCCCAGACUCCUACGGGAGGCAGCAGUGGGGAAUAUUGCACAAUGGGCGGAAGCCUGAUGCAGCAACGCCGCGUGCGGGAUGACGGCCUUCGGGUUGUAAACCGCUUUCGCCUGUGACGAAGCGUGAGUGACGGUAAUGGGUAAAGAAGCACCGGCUAACUACGUG
This 468-nucleotide ribosomal RNA is filed under the name uncultured bacterium. Its description in RNAcentral is "partial 16S ribosomal RNA". It matches the Rfam family "Bacterial small subunit ribosomal RNA", at positions 28 to 507 of the family's 1533-position model. The record is from RNAcentral.